CAAAGGAUAGUUUAAAAAAAAUAUUAAUUUUGGAGAUUAAUCAUAAAUAGUUUCUUAUUUUUCUUUGA
Molecule: transfer RNA, 68 nt
Filed under: Stenopsyche angustata
Lineage: Eukaryota; Metazoa; Arthropoda; Insecta; Trichoptera; Stenopsychidae
Description: tRNA-Pro
Source: RNAcentral